AUCCACUCCCUCUCGCCGCCGCCUGCGACCUCGCCGCCGCGCCCGCCUCACCUCACCUCGCCGGAGUUCCCCCACGAUCGGGGGGCAUCCGGGGUGGGCGAUGGCGCCGCCCGGGACGAGCAGGAGGAGGGGGCGGCGUGGUCGUCGGGCGGCGGGCCGGUGCGCGGGGCUGCCCCUCGACGCGCUGUUCGAGAUCAUGCUGCGGCUGCCGGCGAGGGACGUCUGCCGCCUCCGCGCCGUCUGCCGGUCGUGGCGCGCCGUGGCCUCCGACCGGGCCUUCGUCGACGCGCACGCCUCCCGCCACCCGGGCCCGUACGUCGCCGCGUGCUUCUCCGAUGAAGCCGACGGCGGCGACGGCGACGAGUCCUGCGGCGGCGUCGACAUCGUCGACCUGUCCUCCGGCGACAUCGUCAAGACUAUUUACACCGAAGUCAGUGGAUCCAGAGUGCAGCGCACGCGCCUCGACCUCGUCUGCCUCGUUGAAGGGCCUAGCCCCUUGGAUGUCACCGUGCUGGAUCCGGUCACCGGUGCUACCUACAUCCCGGCAAAGAGUAUCUCUGCGGAUAAUAAGGAUUUGCUGAGUUCAGGCCGUCUCAUAAUGGAAUCCUGUGCUUUUGGGAAGGUCCCCUCUACAGGAGAGUACAAGGUGGUCCGUCUCCUUGGUUCUGGUAAUCCAUGUGAGCUAUACGAGUGCGAGAUCAUGACCGUGAACAGUGCUGGCGCUUUGCAAUGGAGGGCGAUACAAGGACCUCAGUUGCCUGUUUGUUCAAGUAACAAUAUGAGAAGUGUGGUCAUCAAUGGGGUUGCGUAUUUCCUGUUAGAUUAUUCGAGGCUCUAUUGCUCAAAUGAUGGCUUGCUUAUUCGACCAGGUAACAUAGUUCCAUUUGACCUUGAGACGGAGGAAUGGAUGGGUAUUCUAAACGGACCGAAACCAGUCGCCAGGGGACGGGAUAUGAUUGUUAUCUCCUCAACCUUGGAAAUUAUGGAGCCCCUCUCGCUAGCCGACUUGAAUGGGUCCUUAGUGAUGGUGCAUGCUGUAUACGGUUCCCCCAUGGACCUGUGGUUUCUGUCAGAUCUUGAGCAAGGACUCUGGGUUAAGAAGUACAGCAUAGAUUUCGAAUACUAUAAUAACAAUGCUUAUCCUUUGCUGCUGUUAGACGAUGAGAAGAUUGUCUUCCUACUGCGGGGAACUAAUGUUCUACAAAGUUAUGAUCUAAAGGAUGACACAUACACUGAUAUAUUGGUGGUGCCAGAUUUCAGAUCCGUUGGCAUUUAUACUGGAGAUCUAUUGAGCUUGGAGGGUGGUCUGAACUGAUUAUCUUGUCGUUUCCGUCGUUUCGAAGGUUCGCGAGUGCGCCGGAAGUAUUCAAGAAGAUUAAUUGAAGACCGAUUAUUGUAAGGUAGACCAUUGCGCCUCUUGUAUUCUCCAAAGACAAAGAUGUUGCUGCUUUCGCUUGCUGAGGCUACUUGAGCUACUUCGUCUCUUAAUUUGCUCCCCAGAUGGAGCAAAUGAUGCUAUCUCAUUCAGUUACAAUAAUGAAAUACUCCUAUAUCAGAUACCUGUUUGUAUUCCGACGGUACAAGCUGAUGUUAUCAGCCUGGUUUACCGUCUUUUUAAAAUGUCGACAAACCUGUGGUGGUGUGAUCUGUAUGCAUGGUACUUGUCCUUUAAGACUAUGGGAAAACCGUGUAUCACUGUCAGUUUAGCUUGGGCACAUGAUUACCAAUGGGAAUUUUCUGAACAAUUUCAUCCU
Non-coding RNA from Oryza sativa Japonica Group (Japanese rice), 1754 nucleotides. The record is from RefSeq and is a predicted model, not a curated record. NCBI's taxonomy places the organism in Eukaryota, Viridiplantae, Streptophyta, Magnoliopsida, Poales, Poaceae.